AGUGAACGCUGGCGGUAGGCCUAACACAUGCGAGUCGAACGGCAGCACAGUAAGAGCUUGCUCUUACGGGUGGCGAGUGGCGGACGGGUGAGGAAUACAUCGGAAUCUACUUUUUCGUGGGGGAUAACGUAGGUAAACUUACGCUAAUACCGCAUACGACCUACGGGUGAAAGCAGGGGAUCUUCGGACCUUGCGCGAUUGAAUGAGCCGAUGUCGGAUUAGCUAGUUGGGGGGGUAAAGGCCCACCAAGGCGACGAUCCGUAGCUGGUCUGAGAGGAUGAUCAGCCACACUGGAACUGAGACACGGUCCAGACUCCUACGGGAGGCAGCAGUGGGGAAUAUUGGACAAUGGGCGCAAGCCUGAUCCAGCCAUACCGCGUGGGUGAAGAAGGCCUUCGGGUUGUAAAGACCUUUUGUUGGGAAAGAAAAGCAGCAGGUUAAUACCCCGCUGUUCUGACGGUACCCAAAGAAUAAGCACCGGCUAACUUCGUG
This 492-nucleotide ribosomal RNA is filed under the name uncultured bacterium. RNAcentral's name for it is "partial 16S ribosomal RNA". It matches the Rfam family "Bacterial small subunit ribosomal RNA", at positions 29 to 507 of the family's 1533-position model. The record is from RNAcentral.